RNAcentral lists this long non-coding RNA (1153 nucleotides) under Oryctolagus cuniculus (rabbit). RNAcentral describes it as "lncRNA (ENSOCUG00000037840.1)". The record is from RNAcentral. Lineage: Eukaryota; Metazoa; Chordata; Mammalia; Lagomorpha; Leporidae.
GUGCUUUCUCUUUCUUGCUCUGGAAUCCAGAAUUCCAACUCAGUGAAUUUUUUUUUUUUUUGACAGGCGGAGUGGACAGUGAGAGAGAGAGACAGAGAGAAAGGUCUUCCUUUGCCGUUGGAUCACCCUCCAAUGGCCGCCGCGGCCAGUGCGCUGCGGCCAGCGCACCGCGCUGAUCCGAUGGCAGGAGCCAGGUACUUCUGGUCUCCCAUGGGGUGCAGGGCCAAGCACUUGGGCCAUCCUCCACUGCACUCCCUGGCCACAGCAGAGAGCUGGGACAACAGGGACAGAAUCCAGCGCCCUGACCGGGACUAGAACCUGGUGUGCCGGCACCGUAAGGCGGAGGAUUAGCCUGUUGAGCCAUGGCGCUGGCCAGUGAAAUAUUUCACUUGGUUACUGCUUUACCCAGCCAGAUGCUCAGAGCUAAAGGUCUUACCUUGCUUGUAGAGUUAACUUUUUUUUUUCCAUUUCACAAUAAGGCAGAUAGAAUAUCUUGGGAUACAAACAAUCAAUGGCUUGGAUUUUUCAGAAUGUCAUUUGGAGGAAAUCAGGAUAAACUCAUCUAUUCUACCUACUUUGAAGAAAAUCAGUCAAAUUGAAGAGAAUUAUGUUUAUAAAAAGUCUUGCAAUCAAGCAGAAGGGAAAAGUUACUAAGGUGAGCAAUUAAUAACAUAUACUAUAUAUGUUCCUAUGCAACAUUUAGUGUACAAGUUAAAAAAAUUGUCUGAAAUACAGUUUAAGUAGUUGUCCUGUGUAUUUAUCACAGCCUUAGAAAUAAUCUGUCUCGUAUUAUAGAUGGUCCUGGAAGUGUGAUCACGGAGACCUACACUGGCAGCAGAGUUUGAGGAAAGUCUCCAAGGAAACAGAUUCUUCUCAAGAAAGCAGAAUUCAGGAGACUUGGUGAUGUAAUUUCAGGUGACUUCAUGAUGCAGUAUAUCUUAUAAAGGAAAUGAUAAUAAGGUUAUUGGGUUAUAUUCUGUUGUAUGAUGUGCUGUUCUUCCCCUAGCUGAAUGGUUGGAGACAGUAGCAUGAUCUUUAGCACCUGUGUGCUUAGUCUAUGAGACUAUUCUAGUUGCCUGGCAUGGGUAGUCCUUCUGUGCUUAGUGCUUACUCUUUUUACCUUAAUAUGCUAGUUUUUUACUUAAAAGUUUUA